RNAcentral lists this long non-coding RNA (2246 nucleotides) under Salmo salar (Atlantic salmon). Its description in RNAcentral is "lncRNA (ENSSSAG00000084457.1)". Lineage: Eukaryota; Metazoa; Chordata; Actinopteri; Salmoniformes; Salmonidae. The record is from RNAcentral.
GUUCUUGUCACAGUUGUUGCACCUGACAGGACUGUGUUGGCUGUCAGUUUUGUUGUUUUGUGAAUUGCAUAGUGUUCGUGACAUUAAAAAUGACGAACCCUAACUCCGCCGCAUUUUGGUCCACUUCUUCCGUAGACAGCCGUUACAGUGUAAUGGACUUCAGAACGUUCUCUGAAUAAACUGUACAGACCUUUUGCAGAAAGGACAAUUAAACCGGUCACGGAAGUUUACUUCCGCCUUCAGGAAGCACUGAGACCUAAUGCCUGGAGAAUCUCAAUGCAUAGACACAAGAAUGGUGGAGAUGUUUCACAGCCAGACAGACCCGGAGACCUAGGAGCACAUUCAGUCAGACUUUACUUCAGGCAAUGGCCACAUCAGGUGUGUGGUGGCCAAAGUGGCGUUCGGCAUGGGCAUCCAGGUGGACGACAUCAGACGGGUGGUGCAUUUGGGGGCUUCCAGUGACUUCCUUUCCUACUGGCAGGAAGUUGGGAGGGACCACAAGGAAGGAUGUUUUCCCUAGGUGAGGAAGGUGAUCCUGUCCUUUGGUCUUAACAACAAGGACAAGGGCACGACUCAGUCCCACAACAAGAGUGUUCGCCUUCUGUUCAAUACAGCGCAUCAAUCUGGGUGCCGAAGGUGAACUAUCCAGUCACUUCCGCCCGACAUUGGCUCAGAGUACUUUACCACGACGAGGUCUGUCAUUUAUUCCAACGCUGGGCAUUACAUGGGCACAACUACGCAGAGAUACGUUCCUACCACAGACAAUUGAAACUGGCUGCAUUUUUUGAAGAUGACGAAACUGAUCUGUCUGACAGGCAUCGUUUCAUGCCAAAAUCCAUCUGGGAACCUCGGUUCAACCUCCUGUCAUCCUGUGCCUGAUUCAAAUCGGAUAAAGAUUCCAUAUCCAGACUGCCUGUCGUCGACAAAGAAACAACACACUCUGGUUAAAGGGUUAUACUUUGCACAAAGUGAAAGCAGUAUUUUAGAAACAAGUUUACCACCUGCAUGUCUGCUGUUAGAGGUGUUCAAUGGUUCCACCAUAAAGGAGAUAAACACUCCAAAUAGAAAUAAUGGGACAACACCUGGGCUAGUAAAGACAGACAAGAAGGAAUGUCAAGCAUCAUUUGUUUUCCUUUUUCAACAGUGUAACCCUUUCUUUCUGACAUAAGCAUCUGCUGAAGAAUGUGCUGCAUGGCAGCCACUGCCUCCAGCAUUGAGGUCUCGAACCACCUUCUCCUCUGAGUUCAAGUGUUAUUGUCACAUGCACAAGAACAGUGAAAUGCAUAAAAACAGAGUCAACCGUUUCAAUUUCAGUUUCAAUUAUUUUCUUGGUCCUGUGCAGACUUUGUAAAUCAAACAAAUACACGUGUGAACACCAAAAUAUGUUUUUUUUGUUUCAACUUAUGUUAGAAUAAAUAGUGAAUGAUUUAUAAACUGUAUGUCAUUCAUUACCUGCAGGGAAUAAGAAAUACAGAAGGUCAUAUUGUGUUAAUCAUAACCCUAUGCACCAGAGAGACAUUAACCUCAAAGCACAGCCAAGUGGUUCUCCCUUUGGCCUGUCUCCCGGCAACGUUCUUUGGCCUGUUUGUAGGUUCUUAGCAUGUUCCCCAAUUUACGUCUGAACUCAGUUCUUCUCAGGGUAACCGUGAUCCGCAAAGAGCCCCUCCAUCUUCUUGUAGAAGGCAUUUGGAGGGACCCUGAGAGCCAGCAUGUUGAGUCAAGUGAGUUUGAGAGCUGGAGGGACCCAUGAGAGCCAGCAGGUUUAGUCAGGAGAGUUUGAGAGCUGGAGGGACGCAUGAAAGCCAGGAGUCAGGAGAGUUUGAGAGCUAGAGGGACCCAUGAAAGCCAGGAGUCAGGAGUUUGAGAGCUAGAGGGACCCAUGAGAGCCAGGAGUCAGCAGAGUUUGGGACACAGAGGCAGCUUGUCCAGCAUUCUUAUCUAACCAGUGACAAAUUACAGUAAUCAGAUGGGACAUAUUUCAUCUAUUUAUAUUGUACAAGUGCUUGAUUAUUUAUUGCAUGAAGCACUUUCAGUGUUUACAACAUUGAGACCCUUUUGGAAAUAGGCCCCUACCUUACAAGACGUGUUGUGUGAAGUUUGCGCUGCUGAACUUGACAUCUUGAAAUUUACUGUGCCUGAGCUAUAUUACUGAAGAACUGAAUAUUGCAUGUUACACUGAAAUGAUUAUAUCAGCCUUUUGUAUUGAAAACACUGAAACUGCCAUUCUAAGCCCGCCAGCCCGUACA